Molecule: RNA transcript, 1533 nt
Organism: Triticum aestivum (bread wheat)
Lineage: Eukaryota; Viridiplantae; Streptophyta; Magnoliopsida; Poales; Poaceae
Exons: 10
Source: RefSeq, a predicted model, not a curated record
GGAGUACAUAAUAAGCGACCAAAACCGCGCGAAGCCUCCAUUAUCCAGCAGAAGUAACGAACACCGCACCUUCCUCGCCUCAGUCACCGCCGCCGCUGCCGGCGCUCUCCGGUUGCCCGUUGUUUGUACAACAUGAUCCCGUCUCCCGCUCGAAUCCUCAUCUUCCUCCUACCCACCCCAAGUCUCAUACCCCCGCCACCCGUCAGGCGGCCGCACAGAGCCUGGGCCGGAACCGCCCGCUGCGCCCCGGAGGCUGUCGCCGGCGGGGGCUUCGUCGUCAUUGAGGACGACCUCUCUGAGCUUCUGCAGAUUCUACCUAGGGAUUUACGAGAUAAUCUGCAGAAUGAACCUAGAAGGGACCAGCUGUUGGAGGUUAUUCUAGAUUUGGGGAGACGACCCGAGGCACGUUUCCUUGGUAAUUCUGGUGGCCAGUAUCUACGGGAUAACGAGAUUUCACAGCUAGAGUUGGAGGAAGCUCAGAGAGCUGUUGGAGAAUUUGGAGGUGACAACCGUGCAGGAAUUGAAGGUACAUUGCAUAGAAUAUCUGCAAUAAGGAGUAGAAAAGGAAUGGUUGUUGGUUUGACCUGUCGAGUUGGCCGUGCCGUCAAUGGGCAUGUUGAUAUGGUCCGUGAUCUUUUAAACUACAAAGAGAGCAUUCUGUUUUUGGGAAGACCUGGGGUUGGCAAGACUACUGUUAUGCGUGAAAUUGCACGUGUUUUAGCGGACGAGUUCCAGAAAAGGGUGGUAAUUGUAGAUACAAGUAAUGAGAUUGGUGGGGAUGGGGACAUUCCUCAUGCUGCAAUUGGUGGCGCAAGAAGAAUGCAAGUACCUGAACCAUCAAUGCAACAUAGAGUGAUGAUUGAAGCAGUUGAAAACCAUAUGCCUGAGGUGGUCAUUGUAGAUGAGAUUGGAACUGAGGCAGAGGCGCAAGCCUGUCGGUCAAUUGCAGAAAGGGGUGUAAUGCUUAUUGGUACUGCCCAUGGAGAAAGGCUUGCAAACAUCAUAAAGAAUCCAGUUUUAUCUGACUUGAAAUUUCACAUGGUAUCAGAAAUGCCAAACUUGAGCUUGUUCUCUCAUAAGUAGUUCACCUUCUUCUAUCUUUAGGUUGGAGGAGUAGAAACUGUCACUCUUGGCGAUGAGGAAGCACGUGCACGACGUACUCAAAAAAGUAUACUGGAGCGGAAGGCCCCUCCAACAUUUCCUUUUCUUAUUGAGAUGAGGGAGCGACACUAUUGGGUCACUCAUCGGACUGAGAGGAGUGUCGAUAUGCUACUUCAUGGCAAGAAGCCACUAGUUGAGGUCAGGAAAAGGGAUAACGAGUUUGAGGUUAUCAUUGAAAGAUGGGCAACAUAUGAUGGAGAUGGACUCUGAAUCCCAAAUUUCAAGUUAUUAUUUCUUCUGCCAUGCUUCAUUUUCUUCAUACUUGCGGUCUUUGUGGAUAUUUGGUACAAAUUCUAUGGAGCUUGUUAUUCUAACGUACUGUAAUGGUGAGAUCCUGGUUCCUAAAGUUUGUUGAGCUUAUUUAGCAGAGUA